This is a long non-coding RNA of Oncorhynchus keta (chum salmon), 953 nucleotides long. RefSeq lists it as uncharacterized. Lineage: Eukaryota; Metazoa; Chordata; Actinopteri; Salmoniformes; Salmonidae. The transcript has 5 exons. The record is from RefSeq and is a predicted model, not a curated record.
GGGAGAGAAAUGGUAAAUGAAGGCAGAUCUGAGGUUUGACUCAAAAAAGCACUUUGAAUUCUACAGUCAACCAAACUGACCAAGCAGUGGUUUAUGAUGUCAUCCUCCCUUCUUCUGAGGAACGAAAGAAGAAAAGACAAACAGAGUGGGCGGGGUGAAGAAGAUGAGGAACAGGAAGUGGAGAAGGAGGUGAAGAAGAUGAGGAACAGGAAGUGGAGAAGGAGGUGAAGAAGAUGAGGAACAGGAAGUGGAGAAGGAGGUGAAGAAGAUGAGGAACAGGAAGUGGAGAAGGAGGUGAAGAAGAUGAGGAACAGGAAGUGGAGAAGGAGGUGAAGAAGAUGAGGAACAGGAAGUGGAGAAGGAGGUGAAGAAGAUGAGGAACAGGAAGUGGAGAAGGAGGUGAAGAAGAUGAGGAACAGGAAGUGGAGAAGGAGGUGAAGAAGAUGAGGAACAGGAAGUGGAGAAGGAGGUGAAGAAGAUGAGGAACAGGAAGUGGAGAAGGAGGUGAAGAAGAUGAGGAACAGGAAGUGGAGAAGGAGGUGAAGAAGAUGAGGAACAGGAAGUGGAGAAGGAGGUGAAGAAGAUGAGGAACAGGAAGUGGAGAAGGAGGUGAAGAAGAUGAGGAACAGGAAGUGGAGAAGGAGGUGAAGAAGAUGAGGAACAGGAAGUGGAGAAGGAGGUGAAGAAGAUGAGGAACAGGAAGAGGAGAAGGAGGUGAAGAAGAUGAGGACCAGGAAGUGGAGAAGGAGGUGAAGAAGAUGAGGAACAGGAAGAGGAGAAGGAGGUGAAGAAGAUGAGGACCAGGAAGUGGAGAAGGAGGUGAAGAAGAUGAGGAACAGGAAGAUGAGAAGGAGGUGAAGAAGAUGAGGAACAGGAAGUGGAGAAGGAGGUGAAGAAGAAGAGGGACAGGAAGAGGAGAAGGAGGUGAAGAAGAUGAGGAACAGGAAGUGGAG